This 178-nucleotide non-coding RNA is filed under the name Vibrio proteolyticus. RNAcentral's name for it is "Lysine sequence". It matches the Rfam family "Lysine riboswitch aptamer". Rfam says of the family: Riboswitches are metabolite binding domains within certain messenger RNAs that serve as precision sensors for their corresponding targets. Lineage: Bacteria; Pseudomonadati; Pseudomonadota; Gammaproteobacteria; Vibrionales; Vibrionaceae. RNAcentral also lists the same sequence under 1 other name. The record is from RNAcentral.
UUAUGCAGAAGAGGAGCACUGCCCAGGCAGGUAUGUUGUGGAGCCUCAACUCCAACACGACAUACUCAGGGGGAGCAGUGCCGAGGUAGUUCUGAGUUGUGGAUCAGAUCUGUCGGUUGACUUGGGUUGAGUCCCAGCAACUGUCACCAGCACCGUCUGGUGAAGAGCUUCUGAGGUC